CCAGCCGCCGCGGUAAGACGGAGGAUGCAAGCGUUAUCCGGAAUGAUUGGGCGUAAAGCGUCCGCAGGUGGCAAAUCAAGUCUGCUGUUAAAGCGCAGGGCUUAACUCUGUAAAGGCAGUGGAAACUGAUUAGCUGGAGUAUGGUAGGGGUAGAGGGAAUUCCCAGUGUAGCGGUGAAAUGCGUAGAGAUUGGGAAGAACAUCGGUGGCGAAGGCGCUCCGCUGGACCAUAACUGACACUCACAGGACGAAAGCUAGGGGAGCGAAUGGGAUUAGAUACCCCAGUAGUCCUAGCCGUAAACGAUGGAUACUAGGUGUUGUCUGUAUCGACCCGGACAGUGCCGUAGCUAACGCGUUAAGUAUCCCGCCUGGGAGUACGCACGCAAGUGUGAAACUCAAAGGAAUUGACGGGGGCCCGCACAAGCGGUGGAGUAUGUGGUUUAAUUCGAUGCAACGCGAAGAACCUUACCAGGACUUGACAUGUCCGGAAUCCCCUUGAAAGAGGGGAGUGCCUUCGGGAGCCGGAACACAGGUGGUGCAUGGCUGUCGUCAGCUCGUGUCGUGAGAUGUUGGGUUAAGUCCCGCAACGAGCGCAACCCUCGUUUUUAGUUGCCAGCAUUAAGUUGGGCACUCUAAAGAGACUGCCGGUGACAAACCGGGGGAAGGUGGGGAUGACGUCAAGUCAGCAUGCCCCUUACGUCCUGGGCUACACACGUACUACAAUGGUAGGGACAGAGGGCAGCCAACUCGCGAGAGUGAGCUAAUCCCGUGAACCCUGCCUCAGUUCAGAUCGCAGGCUGCAACUCGCCUGCGUGAAGGCGGAAUCGCUAGUAAUCGCCGGUCAGCAUACGGCGGUGAAUCCGUUCCCGGGCCUUGUACACACCGCCCGUCACACCAUGGAAGUUGGCCAUGCCCGAAGUCGUUACUCUAACUCGCAAGAGAGGAGGAUGCCGAAGGCAGGGCUGAUGACUGGGGUGAAGUCGUAACAAGGUAACCAAG
RNAcentral lists this ribosomal RNA (998 nucleotides) under uncultured cyanobacterium. Its description in RNAcentral is "bacterial SSU rRNA". It matches the Rfam family "Bacterial small subunit ribosomal RNA", at positions 508 to 1504 of the family's 1533-position model. The record is from RNAcentral. Lineage: Bacteria; Bacillati; Cyanobacteriota.